This 253-nucleotide ribosomal RNA is filed under the name uncultured bacterium. Its description in RNAcentral is "partial 16S ribosomal RNA". It matches the Rfam family "Bacterial small subunit ribosomal RNA", at positions 524 to 776 of the family's 1533-position model. The record is from RNAcentral.
UACGUAGGGCGCAAGCGUUGUCCGGAAUUAUUGGGCGUAAAGAGCUCGUAGGCGGCUUGUCACGUCGGGUGUGAAAUUUCGGGGCUCAACCCCGAACUUGCAGUGGGUACGGGCAGACUAGAGUGUGGUAGGGGAGACUGGAAUUCCUGGUGUAGCGGUGAAAUGCGCAGAUAUCAGGAGGAACACCGAUGGCGAAGGCAGGUCUCUGGGCCAUAACUGACGCUGAGAAGCGAAAGCUAGGGGAGCGAAUGGG